RNAcentral lists this ribosomal RNA (253 nucleotides) under uncultured bacterium. Its description in RNAcentral is "partial 16S ribosomal RNA". It matches the Rfam family "Bacterial small subunit ribosomal RNA", at positions 524 to 776 of the family's 1533-position model. The record is from RNAcentral.
UACGGAGGGUGCGAGCGUUAUUCGGAAUUACUGGGCGUAAAGCGCGUGUAGGCGGUUUUGCAAGUCUGAUGUGUAAGCCCCGGGCUUAACCUGGGAAGUGCAUUGGAAACUGCAGGACUUGAGUACCGGAGAGGAAGGGGGAAUUCCCGGUGUAGAGGUGAAAUUCGUAGAGAUCGGGAGGAAUACCAGUGGCGUAGGCGUCCUUCUGGACGGUUAUUGACGAUGAGACGCGAAAGCGUGGGGAGCAAACAGG